This 393-nucleotide ribosomal RNA is filed under the name uncultured bacterium. RNAcentral's name for it is "partial 16S ribosomal RNA". It matches the Rfam family "Bacterial small subunit ribosomal RNA", at positions 338 to 723 of the family's 1533-position model. The record is from RNAcentral.
CCUACGGGAGGCAGCAGUAGGGAAUCUUCCACAAUGGGCGAAAGCCUGAUGGAGCAACGCCGCGUGGGUGAAGAAGGUCUUCCGAUCGUAAAACUCUUUUUUUAGAGAAGAAAGAGCGUGAGAGUAACUGUUCACGUUUCUACGGUAUCUAACCAGAAAGCCACGGCUAACUACGUGCCAGCAGCCGUGGUAAUACGUAGGUGGCAAGCGUUAGCCGGUUGUUUUGGGCGUAAAGGGCACGCCGGCGGGCUGUUAGGUCUGAUGGGAAAGCCUUCGGCUUAACGGGAGUAGUGGUUUUGAAACGGGAAGACUUGAGUGCAGAAGAGGAGAGUGGAAUUCCAGGUGUAGCGGUGAAAUGCGUAGAUAUAUGGAAGAACUCCGGUGGCGAAGGCG